AGAGUUUGAUCCUGGCUCAGGAUGAACGCUGGCGGCGUGCUUAACACAUGCAAGUCGAACGAACCCUUCGGGUUAGUGGCGGACGGGUGAGUAACGCGUGAGAAUCUGCCCUCAGGAGGGGGAUAACGGCUGGAAACGGCCGCUAAUACCCCAUAUGCCGAGAGGUGAAAUGAAUUUCGCCUGAGGAUGAGCUCGCGUCUGAUUAGCUAGUUGGUGUGGUAAAGGCUCACCAAGGCAUCGAUCAGUAGCUGGUCUGAGAGGAUGAUCAGCCACACUGGGACUGAGACACGGCCCAGACUCCUACGGGAGGCAGCAGUGGGGAAUUUUCCGCAAUGGGCGCAAGCCUGACGGAGCAACGCCGCGUGAGGGAUGAAGGCCUCUGGGCUGUAAACCUCUUUUAUCAAGGAAGAAGAUCUGACGGUACUUGAUGAAUAAGCCACGGCUAAUUCCGUGCCAGCAGCCGCGGUAAUACGGGAGUGGCAAGCGUUAUCCGGAAUUAUUGGGCGUAAAGCGUCCGCAGGCGGUCUUGAAAGUCUGUUGUUAAAGCGUGGAGCUCAACUCCAUUUCAGCAAUGGAAACUAGAAGACUAGAGUGUGGUAGGGGCAGAGGGAAUUCCCGGUGUAGCGGUGAAAUGCGUAGAUAUCGGGAAGAACACCAGUGGCGAAGGCGCUCUGCUGGGCCAUAACUGACGCUCAUGGACGAAAGCCAGGGGAGCGAAAGGGAUUAGAUACCCCUGUAGUCCUGGCCGUAAACGAUGAACACUAGGUGUCGGGGGAAUCGACCCCCUCGGUGUCGUAGCCAACGCGUUAAGUGUUCCGCCUGGGGAGUACGCACGCAAGUGUGAAACUCAAAGGAAUUGACGGGGGCCCGCACAAGCGGUGGAGUAUGUGGUUUAAUUCGAUGCAACGCGAAGAACCUUACCAGGGUUUGACAUCCUGCGAAUCCCUUGGAAACUUGGGAGUGCCUUCGGGAGCGCAGUGACAGGUGGUGCAUGGCUGUCGUCAGCUCGUGUCGUGAGAUGUUGGGUUAAGUCCCGCAACGAGCGCAACCCACGUCUUUAGUUGCCAGCAUUAAGUUGGGCACUCUAGAGAGGCUGCCGGUGAUAAACCGGAGGAAGGUGUGGAUGACGUCAAGUCAUCAUGCCCCUUACAUCCUGGGCUACACACGUACUACAAUGCUACGGACAAAGGGCAGCAAACUCGCGAGAGCUAGCAAAUCCCAUAAACCGUGGCUCAGUUCAGAUCGUAGGCUGCAACUCGCCUACGUGAAGGAGGAAUCGCUAGUAAUCGCAGGUCAGCAUACUGCGGUGAAUACGUUCCCGGGCCUUGUACACACCGCCCGUCACACCAUGGAAGUUGGCCACGCCCGAAGUCGUUACUCCAACCCGCAAGGGAGGAGGAUGCCGAAGGUGGGGCUGAUGACUGGGGUGAAGUCGUAACAAGGUA
RNAcentral lists this ribosomal RNA (1445 nucleotides) under metagenome. RNAcentral's name for it is "bacterial SSU rRNA". It matches the Rfam family "Bacterial small subunit ribosomal RNA". The record is from RNAcentral.